UACGUAGGGUGCAAGCGUUGUCCGGAAUUAUUGGGCGUAAAGAGCUCGUAGGCGGCUUGUCGCGUCGGCUGUGAAAACUCGGGGCUCAACCCCGAGCCUGCAGUCGAUACGGGCAGGCUAGAGUCCGGCAGGGGAGACUGGAAUUCCUGGUGUAGCGGUGAAAUGCGCAGAUAUCAGGAGGAACACCAAUGGCGAAGGCAGCACUCUGGGACGUGACUGACGCUGAGACGCGAAAGCGUGGGGAGCAAACAGG
Molecule: ribosomal RNA, 253 nt
Filed under: uncultured bacterium
Lineage: Bacteria
Description: partial 16S ribosomal RNA
Rfam family: Bacterial small subunit ribosomal RNA
Source: RNAcentral